This 279-nucleotide ribosomal RNA is filed under the name uncultured bacterium. RNAcentral describes it as "partial 16S ribosomal RNA". It matches the Rfam family "Bacterial small subunit ribosomal RNA", at positions 506 to 784 of the family's 1533-position model. The record is from RNAcentral.
UGCCAGCAGCCGCGGUAAUACGAAGGGUGCUAGCGUUGUUCGGGAUUACUGGGCGUAAAGAGCAUGUAGGCGGAUGAAUUAGUCAGAGGUGAAAGCCCCGAGCUCAACUUGGGAACUGCCUUUGAUACUGUUUAUCUAGAGUCCGAGAGAGGUUAGUGGAAUUCCCAGUGUAGAGGUGAAAUUCGUAGAUAUUGGGAAGAACACCAGUGGCGAAGGCGGCCUCCUGGCUCGAUACUGACGCUGAGGUGCGACAGCGUGGGGAGUAAACAGGAUUAGAUA